GACGAACGCUGGCGGCGUGCUUAACACAUGCAAGUCGAACGGAAAGGCCCUGCUUUUGUGGGGUGCUCGAGUGGCGAACGGGUGAGUAACACGUGAGUAACCUGCCCUUGACUUUGGGAUAACUUCAGGAAACUGGGGCUAAUACCGGAUAGGAGCUCCUGCUGCAUGGUGGGGGUUGGAAAGUUUCGGCGGUUGGGGAUGGACUCGCGGCUUAUCAGCUUGUUGGUGGGGUAGUGGCUUACCAAGGCUUUGACGGGUAGCCGGCCUGAGAGGGUGACCGGCCACAUUGGGACUGAGAUACGGCCCAGACUCCUACGGGAGGCAGCAGUGGGGAAUAUCGCACAAUGGGCGGAAGCCUGAUGCAGCAACGCCGCAUGCGGGAUGACGGCCUUCGGGUUGUAAACCGCUUUCGCCUGUGACGAAGCGUGAGUGACGGUAAUGGGUAAAGAAGCACCGGCUAACUACGUG
This 468-nucleotide ribosomal RNA is filed under the name uncultured bacterium. RNAcentral's name for it is "partial 16S ribosomal RNA". It matches the Rfam family "Bacterial small subunit ribosomal RNA", at positions 28 to 507 of the family's 1533-position model. The record is from RNAcentral.